ACGCAAUAGAUACCCCGGUAGUCCACGCCCUAAACGAUGUCUACUAGUUGUCGGGUUUUAAUUAACUUGGUAACGCAGCUAAACGCGUGAAAGUAGACCGCCUGGGGAGUACGGUCGCAAGAUUAAAACUCAAAGGAAUUGACGGGGACCCGCACAAGCGGUGGAUGAUGUGGAUUAAUUCGAUGCAACGCGAAAAACCUUACCUACCCUUGACAUGGCAGGAAUCCUGAAGAGAUUUGGGAGUGCUCGAAAGAGAACCUGCACACAGGUGCUGCAUGGCUGUCGUCAGCUCGUGUCGUGAGAUGUUGGGUUAAGUCCCGCAACGAGCGCAACCCUUGUCAUUAGUUGCUACGAAAGAGCACUCUAAUGAGACUGCCGGUGACAAACCGGAGGAAGGUGGGGAUGACGUCAAGUCCUCAUGGCCCUUAUGGGUAGGGCUUCACACGUCAUACAAUGGUACAUACAGA
Molecule: ribosomal RNA, 467 nt
Filed under: uncultured bacterium
Lineage: Bacteria
Description: bacterial SSU rRNA
Rfam family: Bacterial small subunit ribosomal RNA
Source: RNAcentral